GAUGAACGCUGGCGGCGUGCCUAAUACAUGCAAGUCGAACGCUGGAGAUCUAGCUUGCUAGAUCGAAGGAGUGGCGAACGGGUGAGUAAUACAUAAGCAACCUACCCACGAAGACUGGGAUAAUCUCUGGAAACGGGGACUAAUACCGGAUAGGUAAUCGGAAGGCAUCUUCUGGUUAUUAAAGGUUAAAAACACUGGUGGAUGGGCUUAUGGCGCAUUAGUUAGUUGGUGAGGUAACGGCCCACCAAGACGAUGAUGCGUAGCCGGCCUGAGAGGGUGAACGGCCACAUUGGGACUGAGACACGGCCCAGACUCCUACGGGAGGCAGCAGUAGGGAAUUUUCGGCAAUGGGGGCAACCCUGACCGAGCAACGCCCUCGUGAGUGAAGACGGCCUUCGGGUUGUAAAGCUCUGUUGUAAGGGAAGAACGGUAGAUAGAGAAUAUCUAAGUGACGUACCUACCAGAAGCCCC
Molecule: ribosomal RNA, 471 nt
Filed under: Solobacterium moorei
Lineage: Bacteria; Bacillati; Bacillota; Erysipelotrichia; Erysipelotrichales; Erysipelotrichaceae
Description: bacterial SSU rRNA
Rfam family: Bacterial small subunit ribosomal RNA
Source: RNAcentral